CCUACGGGUGGCAGCAGUGAGGAAUAUUGGUCAAUGGCCGGAAGGCUGAACCAGCCAUGCCGCGUGAAGGUCAGUGCCCUAUGGGCGUUAAACUUCUUUUGUGCGGGAGCAAUAAUGGUCACGUGUGGCCAGACGAGAGUACCGUACGAAUAAGCAUCGGCUAACUCCGUGCCAGCAGCCGCGGUAAUACGGGGGAUGCAAGCGUUAUCCGGGUUUAUUGGGUUUAAAGGGUGCGUAGGCUGUGAGGUAAGUCAGCGGUGAAAUGCCCCCGCUCAACGGGGUGAAGUGCCAUUGAUACUGCCUGGCUGGAAUGCGGAUGCGGUGGGAGGAAUGUGUGGUGUAGCGGUGAAAUGCAUAGAUAUCACACAGAACACCGAUUGCGAAGGCAUCUCACGAAUCCGCGAUUGACGCUGAUGCACGAAAGCGUGGGUAUCAAACAGGAUUAGAUACCCUGGUAGUC
RNAcentral lists this ribosomal RNA (460 nucleotides) under uncultured bacterium. RNAcentral's name for it is "partial 16S ribosomal RNA". It matches the Rfam family "Bacterial small subunit ribosomal RNA", at positions 338 to 795 of the family's 1533-position model. The record is from RNAcentral.